GCCGGGUUAGCUCAGUUGGUUAGAGCAUGGUGCUAAUAACGCCAAGGUCACAGGUUCAAUCCCUGCUCACUGCA
RNAcentral lists this transfer RNA (74 nucleotides) under Pelecanus crispus (Dalmatian pelican). It matches the Rfam family "tRNA". From Rfam's summary of the family: Transfer RNA (tRNA) molecules are approximately 80 nucleotides in length. Their secondary structure includes four short double-helical elements and three loops (D, anti-codon, and T loops). Lineage: Eukaryota; Metazoa; Chordata; Aves; Pelecaniformes; Pelecanidae. The record is from Rfam by way of RNAcentral.